AUCAUGACUUAGAAAUGUCAAAGCCAUCGACACUCACAAGGGCUCUCAGGGAUUCCUUCCUUUUUACCGCCUUCCCAAAGAAGCACGCAGCCACUUCUCUCGCGAGAGAUGUUCAUGGGCGUCGGAGGAUCUCCUGCGUCACCGCGAGGAAGUGUUAUCACCCGGAGAGCGACACAUCCGCGUAAUUUCAUCUUUGUAUGUGUGUCGGUCAAAAAUAUCAUAGACCUUUUUACAAAACGGAUUUGCAUAGCCGUUCUUUCUGUCUGGGACCGUUUUGAAGAACGGAAGUGCGCGUCGUGUAGUAUAUAAAAAGCCUUGCGAACAAACACGUUAAAAUUAAAAGGAAACUGUGUUAAAAUGUAUCAAAAAUAGAAAGCCAAUACAAAAAGUGCUUAAACUACACACAAGACCUAGUGUAACAGCACGCUCUACAAAAAAAAAAAAACAACAUAAAAAGGUCCAAGAGGGCCUUUUUUGUUUUGGUUUAUUCCUUUUCGUUCGGCUAAGCAGCACACGGCACAACAAAGUCCAACAUCCAGACAGGAAGAAUCUACCGACUUGCUAAAAUACCAUCCACACGGUAUCGACUGGAACGGUCAUCACCAGCGGUGUUAGAAACAUCGAUCCGCAGCUCGUGGGCUCUUCCGGGACGCCGGAAUGGAGCCUAUGAGGUUAGAACCAGUUCUAGACAGACGUGGAAUCUGUCAACCAGAGGAAAGUCUCCGGUCCCAGUAUUUCGGGUUCCGGCAAACAGCCAUGCAGAGCCAAACCACUAGUAAUCACGCAAGUAACAAAAGCCCCUUAUGUGACGUCAGUAAAAGAAAUUAGUCUUAAAUAUAUUCAGAAUGUAACCCAUUAAAAGCCAAUAGAUCUUAUCUGUUAGUAGAGUAAUUUUGAACUUUUUACACUUAUUUUGUCCGUUUCACGUUCUGGGCCAGGAGGGCCCCACCCAAAACUUCACUUCAAAUCAGUCCCUGGCAGAAUUAGUUCAUUUUAAAAUAAUAGUUUGACCCGGUUGGGAACAUGCGAGGUACCACUCGCAGUGUGGCAAUGGUAAAUUUUCCCCGUUUCAUGAACAUCCCUAUUGGAGUUUCCUCUAAUAUUCUGAAUACUCCGGAGGAAGUAGUCUGUGCUAUCCCUCAGAAAAAUACGACCCUGAGUUCCACUCAUU
This is a long non-coding RNA of Uranotaenia lowii, 1171 nucleotides long. RefSeq lists it as uncharacterized. Lineage: Eukaryota; Metazoa; Arthropoda; Insecta; Diptera; Culicidae. The transcript is spliced from 4 exons. The record is from RefSeq and is a predicted model, not a curated record.